GCCGGGCAUAGUGGUGCGCACCUGUAGUCCUGGUGGCUUGGGAGGCUGAGGCAGGAGGAUUGUGAAUUCAAGGUUCGCCUCAGCAACCUAGGGAGGCCGUAAGCAACUUAGCAAGACCCUGUCUCAA
This 127-nucleotide small RNA is filed under the name Marmota monax (woodchuck). Lineage: Eukaryota; Metazoa; Chordata; Mammalia; Rodentia; Sciuridae. The record is from RNAcentral.